AUGCUUGCUAAGUAUGAUGUUAAUCAUAGAAUUGCAUCUCCUUAUCACCCACAGUCUAGUGGUCAAGUAGAAUUUAGGAAUAGAGAGCUCAAAUUAAUUUUGCAAAAGACUGUUAAUGGAUCUAGAAAGAAUUGGUCCAAGAAACUUGAUGAUGCAUUAUGGUCCUAUAGAAGUGCAUAUAAAAAUCCUAUGGGUAUGUCUCCGUAUAAAAUGGUUUAUGGAAAAGCAUGUCACUUACAUCUAGAACUAGAACAUAAGGCAUAUUGGGCCAUUAAAGAGCUCAAUUAUGAUUUCAAACUUGCCGGUGAGAAGAGGUUAUUUGACAUUAGCUCACUUGAUGAAUGGAGAACCCAAGCCUAUGAGAAUGCCAAAUUAUUUAAAGAAAAAGUUAAAAGAUGGCAUGACAAAAGAAUACAAAAGCGUGAGUUUAAUGUAGGUGAUUAUGUAUUGCUAUACAACUCUCGUUUAAGAUUUUUUGCAGGAAAACUUCUCUCUAAUUGGGAAGGCCCUUACGUUAUCGAGGAGGUCUAUCGUUCCGGUGCCAUAAAAAUCAACAACUUUGAAGGCACAAAUCAGAAGGUGGUGAACGGUUAA
Molecule: ribosomal RNA, 594 nt
Filed under: Triticum aestivum (bread wheat)
Lineage: Eukaryota; Viridiplantae; Streptophyta; Magnoliopsida; Poales; Poaceae
Description: partial small subunit ribosomal RNA
Source: RNAcentral